RNAcentral lists this long non-coding RNA (257 nucleotides) under Ricinus communis (castor bean). RNAcentral describes it as "long non-coding RNA (RCOM_LNC000784)". The record is from RNAcentral. Lineage: Eukaryota; Viridiplantae; Streptophyta; Magnoliopsida; Malpighiales; Euphorbiaceae.
CGAGAGCAAUGCUCGACCAGGGACCUUACCUCCAGUCUGGUCACUUAAGUAUCCAAAUAAGCCGGCGCCCCGAGAGCAAUGCUCGACCAGGGACCUUACCUCCGGCAAUUUACACAAAUCAGCCCAGAGAACCAUGCUCGACCAGGGCAAACCCAUGAAAAUCUUAUUGCAUGUCCAUGAUCAUCACCAGUGCGCACGCGGUCCUGAUGUAUCCCAUCAGGCGGCAUGUUCUACAAGCCACGUUUCCCAAGACACAA